GCUUUGGAAUCUUCCCAGUAGUGGGGAAUAACCAGUCGAAAGAUUGGCUAAUACCGCAUACGUCUGUAAAGGGAAAGCGGGGGCUCGUAAGACCUCGCGCUAUUGGAUGAGCCAAAGUCGGAUUAGCUAGUUGGUGGGGUAAUGGCCUACCAAGGCGACAAUCCGUAGCUGGUCUGAGAGGACGACCAGCCACACCGGAACUGAGACACGGUCCGGACUCCUACGGGAGGCAGCAGUGGGGAAUAUUGGACAAUGGGGGAAACCCUGAUCCAGCGACGCCGCGUGUGUGAAGAAGGCCUGCGGGUUGUAAAGCACUUUUAGUGGGGACAAAAAGCUACGGAUUAAUACUUCGUGGUCUUGAUUUAACCCAAAGAAAAAGCACCGGCUAACUCUGUGCCAGCAGCCGCGGUAAUACAGAGGGUGCGAGCGUUAAUCGGAAUUACUGGGCGUAAAGCGCGCGUAGACGGUUUUGUAAGUCAGAUGUGAAAUCCCUGGGCUCAACCUGGGAACUGCAUUUGAAACUGCAUGGCUAGAGUAUGGUAGAGGGAAG
RNAcentral lists this ribosomal RNA (550 nucleotides) under uncultured bacterium. Its description in RNAcentral is "bacterial SSU rRNA". It matches the Rfam family "Bacterial small subunit ribosomal RNA", at positions 115 to 661 of the family's 1533-position model. The record is from RNAcentral.